This is a long non-coding RNA of Lolium perenne, 2259 nucleotides long. RefSeq lists it as uncharacterized. The record is from RefSeq and is a predicted model, not a curated record. Lineage: Eukaryota; Viridiplantae; Streptophyta; Magnoliopsida; Poales; Poaceae.
CUCUUUUUGUGUGUGGCAGCGAAGAGAGCUCUUCUCCCGCGGUGGUGGUGGGAUCUCCCGGCGAGGCCCUGGGUUCCCCCGUUCGGCGGCGGCGAAAUCCGUGAAGGCCACCGAGCGAGGAACCGAGAGGAUUCCGCUCGCUCUCGUCCUUGUGUUCCGUCGCUCUCUGCAAGUGAAAAUCAUGGGUUUGCAAGGAUGCCGAGGAGCUGGAUUCCUCCAUGCCGGAGCUUCUAGGGAGCGACCACUGUUUCGAGGUGACGGUAGGAGGCUGCUGGCUGCGUCGCCGGCGUGACUGUGUUGGUGCAUACCUGUGUGAAGAUUCAUCUUGAAAAUCGAGUGUUGCUGGAAAGCUUUGUGAGUAUAUCCCUGAAUCAAUCUGCAGUACAAUAUUUGCAAUUUCAGUUAGCGAAGAAUCAUAGCAUGGUAGAAGUGUUACAACAUAAGACAAUUGCGAUUGAAGCAACAAUGAGUGACUGUCUAUACACAUCGUAGAUACAUCCCCAGAGAUGGGAGCCUCCGUCUCUCAUUUCUCAUUAUUCUCAUUUUAUCUCUUUUCAUUGUUUAGCUUAGUGUUAUCAUUUUUAUCUCAGUGUAUCAUUGUUUAUCAUUUACCUCAGUUUCUCUCUAAUUAUAGUAUUCAUUCUGUAUUUCUUCAUUACUACUUUAUUUUCUUCAUUUGUUCAUUUUAGUCUCUUAUUCUCUUAUUCUCUCAGUUUUUCAUUUUAUCUCAUUUUGUCUCUGUCACCUAGUCCUAUAAUUUAUCUCAUUUUGUCUCUUUGUUGUUCUUUUCUCCUCAGUUUUCAGACAUCUUUGCUCAGUCCCUCCUUCUCUCAGUCUCUUCUCACUUUUAUUUAUUCAGUCUUUCCUUCUCCAGUGUUUCGGUUUAAUUUGCUAAUUUUAAUUUAUUUACUCAUUCUUUAUUUCAGCCUCUUCUCAUAUUUAUUUGCUCAGUCUUUUAUUCCUUGGUCUCUCUGUCUUAUUCUCUCAGUGCUCAUUUUUUUCAUUUUCAUUCCUCCGAUUUCCUCAGUUAUUAUGAAAAUUCUAUGAAUUUUAUGAUUUUUCAGUCUUGCAUUCUUACCUGUAUCUUAUAUCCACCAUCAAAUAAUUCUAUGAAAAUUCUGCUAAUUAAGAUUUAUUCGCUCAGUCAUUCAGUCAUCAUUUUUAGUUCUUCCUCCUUUUUUCAUUUUCAUUCCUCCGAUUUCCUCAGUUAAUAUGAAAAUUCUAUGAAUUUUCUGAUUUUUCAAUCUUGCAUUCUUACCUGUGUCCUAACAUGGGGAAUUCUACCUACAUGAUUCUUUAAGCUAUACUUAAGUUGGGUGGAUGCGGACUCUCUCUCAGGUAUAUAGAUGUUGAACGCCAUAUUUAGUCCCACUUGUCUCUGUUAGGCCAAGUUGUUGUUUGUCAGUAUUCAACCAUUCAGUCUGGUGCUCCAAUAAUCAAGUAUCUCAAUGUGGUGGAAAUUGUUAAUAAUAUACAGCAUCAUGCUACAAAUGAAUUGUUCUCAACCACCUGUAAUUUCUUAUCAUUUAUUGCUGAUCUCAUUCAGUUUUAAUUUCUCCAGUCAAUUUGUAGUACCUCAUUAGUUCGUUUCUCGGUAUAUUAUUGCCUCAGUUGUUUUCUUAAGUCUAUCAAUGAUGAUUCAUCAAGCAUUGAAAAAUGUUUGAUAAUUUCAUUUUUGUUUUGUAUCUUGAAUCUUAAGUUACCCGUUGAUAAAAUCAGACAAUGUUGGCUGCUUAAACGAUGAUGAACAACAUCGCUGAUGGUGAGAAUGCUAGCUGCUAAAUCAUUUUCUUUGUUUUCAUUUUAUGUUCUGAUUAUCUUCGAUGUUUCUUUCUCCAUCCUCGUAGUAUUCAACAUCUCUUCAAUUUAGUGUACGCGGUAGAUUUUGAUGGUGGAUACAAGUACACUUUUGCCAUAGACCAGAGGAGGAGAUCAAAGAGUGGAUGCUUGUUCGGUUCUACAUGGAACAUCAAGGCUGCUUUUGCGUGGGGAGGAAGAAGGAGGAGAUGGUGACGUGGAGGCAACUGGUGGACCAAGCCACCAAGCCAAUAGAAAUAGAAGGCCUAGUUUCCUGUUUUUUGUGAAAGCCUCAACAAAGGUUGAUGUAUGAAUAAUAGGCUACUCCUUUUCCAGUUAUUAUGUACAAGAGCCCAGUUUUAAAAAGGCAGAUGUAUAAACGAUGGGCUAAUGAAAAAAAAAAACCAGGAAAAAACAGGCUGGCUGGAUUGAUCGAAAUGAAUUUGUUUGUGUUUUUGGUUU